RNAcentral lists this ribosomal RNA (508 nucleotides) under uncultured bacterium. RNAcentral's name for it is "partial 16S ribosomal RNA". It matches the Rfam family "Bacterial small subunit ribosomal RNA", at positions 28 to 507 of the family's 1533-position model. The record is from RNAcentral.
GACGAACGCUGGCGGCGUGCUUAACACAUGCAAGUCGAACGGGCCUUGUCCCCUUUUUUUUUGGGGGUGGGGUUAGUGGCGAACGGGUGAGUAACACGUGAGUAACCUGCCCCUCACUUCUGGAUAGCCGCUUGAAAGGGUGGCUAAUACGGGGUGUUCUGGCCUGCUCGCAUGGGUGGGUUUGGAAAGAUUCGACCGGUUUUGGUUGUUUUGGUGGGGGAUGGGCUCGCGGCCUAUCAGCUUGUUGGUGGGGUGAUGGCCUGCCAAGGCUUUGACGGGUAGCCGGCCUGAGAGGGUGGGCGGUCACACUGGGACUGAGACACGGCCCAGACUCCUACGGGAGGCAGCAGUGGGGAAUAUUGCACAAUGGGCGUAAGCCUGAUGCAGCGACGCCGCGUGAGGGAUGGAGGCCUUCGGGUUGUGAACCUCUUUCGCCAGUGAAGAAGGUCCUGCUCUUUGUGGUGGGGUUGACGGUAGCUGGGUUAAUGAAGCGCCGGCUAACUACGUG